GCGCGAAAACUUUACCAUGCGGGCAACCGUGAUAAGGAAACCCCGAGUGCCAGCACAGGCUGGCUGUCCGCCAGUGUAAAUAACUGGUGAAGAAAGGGCCGGGCAAGACCGGUGCCAGCCGCCGCGGUAAUACCGGCGGCUCGAGUGGUGGCCACUAUUACUGGGCUUAAAGGGUCCGUAGCUUGAUAUGCAAGUCUUUUGAGAAAUCCGCCGGCUUAACUGGCGGGCGUUCAGGGGAAACUGCAUUUCUAGGGACCGGGAGAGGUGAGAGGUACUGCCGGGGUAGGAGUGAAAUCCUGUAAUCCCGGUGGGACCACCUAUGGCGAAGGCAUCUCACCAGAACGGGUCCGACAGUGAGGGACGAAAGCUGGGGGAGCAAACC
RNAcentral lists this ribosomal RNA (382 nucleotides) under uncultured prokaryote. RNAcentral describes it as "bacterial SSU rRNA". It matches the Rfam family "Archaeal small subunit ribosomal RNA", at positions 339 to 725 of the family's 1478-position model. The record is from RNAcentral.